RNAcentral lists this ribosomal RNA (1235 nucleotides) under metagenome. Its description in RNAcentral is "bacterial LSU rRNA". It matches the Rfam family "Bacterial large subunit ribosomal RNA", at positions 1658 to 2925 of the family's 2925-position model. The record is from RNAcentral.
CACAGGUGGACUGGUAGAGCAUACCAAGGCGCUUGAGAGAACGAUGUUGAAGGAACUAGGCAAAUUGCUCUCGUAACUUCGGAAGAAGAGAGACCUCGCUUUGGGCAACCAUCGCGAGGUGGCACAGACCAGGGGGUAGCAACUGUUUACUAAAAACACAGGGCUCUGCGAACUCGUAAGAGGACGUAUAGGGUCUGACGCCUGCCCGGUGCUAAGGUUAAGGAGAGAAGUGCAAGCUUUGAACCGAAGCCCCAGUAAACGGCGGCCGUAACGAUAACGGUCCUAAGGUAGCGAAAUUCCUUGUCGGGUAAGUUCCGACCUGCACGAGGGCGUAAUGACUUCCCCGCUGUCUCCAACAUCGACUCAGUGAAAUUGAACUCUCCGUGAAGAUGCGGAGUACCCGUGGCUAGACGGAAAGACCCCGUGCACCUUUACUACAACUUUGCAGUGGCAUUAGAGGAUGGAUGUGUAGGAUAGGCGGGAGCCUUUGAAGCGCCGGCGCUAGCCGGUGUGGAGGCAACCUUGAAAUACCGCCCUUCUGUACUUUGAUGUCUAACCGCGACCCGUUAUCCGGGUCCGGGACCCUGCAUGGUGGGUAGUUUGACUGGGGCGGUCGCCUCCCAAAGAGUAACGGAGGCGCGCGAUGGUAGGCUCAAGCUGGUCGGAAAUCAGCUGUUGAGUGUAAUGGCACAAGCCUGCCUGACUGCGAGAGCGACAGUUCGAGCAGAGACGAAAGUCGGUCAUAGUGAUCCGGUGGUCCCGCGUGGAAGGGCCAUCGCUCAACGAAUAAAAGGUACGCCGGGGAUAACAGGCUGAUGACCCCCAAGAGUCCAUAUCGACGGGCUCGUUUGGCACCUCGAUGUCGGCUCAUCACAUCCUGGGGCUGGAGCAGGUCCCAAGGGUAUGGCUGUUCGCCAUUUAAAGUGGUACGUGAGCUGGGUUUAGAACGUCGUGAGACAGUUCGGUCCCUAUCUACCAUGGGUGUCGGAGAAUUGAGAGGAGCUGUCCCUAGUACGAGAGGACCGGGAUGCACGCACCUCUGGUGUACCGGUUGUCGCGCCAGCGGCAUCGCCGGGUAGCUAAGUGCGGACGGGAUAACCGCUGAAAGCAUCUAAGCGGGAAGCCUCCCUCAAAACAAGUUCUCCCCCGAGAGCCGUGGAAGACCACCACGUUGAUAGGCCAGGUGUGGAAGCGCAGUGAUGUGUGAAGCUAACUGGUACUAAUCGCUCGAGCGC